GAUCUGGUAGCUUUUUGGAGGCUUGCAGGUCCAGCUGGGGCCGGGGAGCCUCCUCUUCAGGCAGCCCCUCGCGACUCUCCUGUGAGGUGGCCGAGCCUCGAGCUUGUUUCUCUGCCAUGCGCUUCUCAAUGGCCGCCAGGGACUCCCGUGUGAACCUGCGGAAGCUGCUGGUGCCCCGAGGAGACCCAGGAAGACCCUGUGGAUGCUCAGAAACACGUGGCUAACAACUUUGGAGCUGUCAUCCAGAUGUUGGCACCCUGAGGCAUACAGCUGUGUAAGAGUCCCUGCUGGGGAUCUCAAAGGACUAUGGUGUCCCCAUAUUCCUGACUCCAAAGCACCCACAGCGCCUCUGGCUCCCCCACCCCUUCUUCCCCUUCCUUCCACCUGUGAACAAAUAAAUUCCAAUUUCAAGGGACAGCAGAACCGGAAAACCAUGACCACUACUGAUGCAUGUGAUGUCAGACUGGGAGAAUGUUGUCCCUGGUGGCCUCAAAUGAUCUAGAAAGUGGUGUGAACACAAUGCCCAUGACAGCAAGGCAGAAGAAUGCAUUCCUGACUGCCCCACCAAAACAGGAUGUGGUCAGCAGGGCUCUGGAUGUGACAACUGAGUUGGAGACCACAUCGCUAAUGACUACAUCAGACCCGGGAAAGGCCAGGCACUGGCUCCACAGGACACGGUGGGCACCUGUUGUCCAUCUCGCCAGGCUAGAAUCUCUUCAUGUCAACUGAGGGCUUUGCCUUCAUCUUACUCCUACAAAACAUGUCACCGAGGGGACCCCGCACUGCUGCUGCACCCGCUCCUGCCUAGAUCCAGCGAAUGGCCUAGACCUGGGGCCCCCGAGCACCAGGGACUGCAGGUAUCUGGCCAUGUGGCAGGUAAGAGUGGGACACACAACAGCCCCCCGCCUGGAAGGCGCCUCUGUGUCCUGGAAGUGCACACAGAUGCAGAGGGGAGGCGGAGGGCAGGGCGCCCCUGCACCCGCGUUUCGGAGCCACCCGUCCUCUGCAUCUUUUUCUAGUUUCAUUCACUUGAAGGUGAAGAGAGUCUCCAAUCAGAUUAGCUGGUGAGGGACUAGUUUCCACUUUCAAAGGUCCUGCCAGAGGUCCUGUCCACCUCCCAUCUGUGAGUGAACAGAGAGACAUCCGAACAUGUCAUGAAAUGUGAGUAGUUCUAGCUGCGGGGAAUAGGGACAAAUUAAAACUUACUUUGCACUUUUUUGAUUGCCUGAAUUUGUUAGUCUGAGCUCAUAAAAACCAUAAAGACAUCAUUCUUCUGAUCUAAAAAAUAAAUACCCAGCCUGAUGACAGCAGUCCCUUGCAGGGCAACCCUUCUCCACUGUGAGCAAUCACUAGCUCUAUAAAUUGGGAAGCCACCCCUUUAGCUUGGAAUUAUUUACUAAAAAUAGUGUUCCCUGUCUCACUGUAUCCAUCUGUGUCCAUAUGCCUGCAAGGGUUCUGGAGACACGUGUAUGCCCAUGGAUGUACAGAGGCUCACUGGUACACACCAGCAAAAGUGUGUGUGUGUGUGUGUGUGUAUGUGUGUGUACAGGCUUGCACCUACAUGUACAUCUGCUCUAGUAAAGAGGUGUUUGUAAUUUGUGUUGCAAUAAAUGAUUCAUGCAGAGAGGUGCACAUAAGUGUACAGGUGGAUGGAUUUCUAAAACUGAACACACUUGGUAACCAGCACCUAGACGAAGCCAGAGAUAGUUUCUACUCGGUCCCUUGCUCUUGGGUUCUCUUCCAGACAUCGCCCUCCUCUGCCAAGGGUAAACUUCCUCCUGACUGCUGAGUGGAUGAAUGGGUUUCGUCUAUCCAGUUCGGUGGCUCUUCACAGACCCCUUGGAAGGCUCGGGAAAGGAUUCAGGGGUGGAGGGGAAGAAAUAGCAUCUCUUUUUCGCCAGAAUCCCACUCAGUUUUAGCAUUUCCUUCAUCUACCAAUGUAGGCAACAAACAGAAGUGCUCACACUCCCGCUGACCACGAAGCACUGCUAACCCUGUCCCUGAAGAGCUGCUGCUCCUAUCUUGAAUAUUGUUAAUGCUUGUCCUACUUCAAAGUCACAGUACUAGACCUGCUGCUCAAUGUUAUUUAAAAUAUUAAAAAAGAAGCAUAUAUAUUACUAUCAAAA
Cavia porcellus (domestic guinea pig) is the source of this 2126-nucleotide long non-coding RNA. RefSeq lists it as uncharacterized. The transcript has 2 exons. NCBI's taxonomy places the organism in Eukaryota, Metazoa, Chordata, Mammalia, Rodentia, Caviidae. The record is from RefSeq and is a predicted model, not a curated record.